This 101-nucleotide non-coding RNA is filed under the name bovine gut metagenome. Its description in RNAcentral is "THF riboswitch". It matches the Rfam family "THF (Tetrahydrofolate) riboswitch aptamer". Rfam says of the family: THF riboswitch presents a pseudoknot that joins P1-P2 and the loop of P3 and two THF binding. The record is from RNAcentral.
GCAGAGUAAGAUCCUAAGCGUCAAGUGUCCGAAGAACGGGGAGUUGUCUUCGGAACGAAAAGCCCAUGCGGCUUGCGGUUUACGGAUCUGCAUCCCGCUGC